AGGGGUUACAGAGACGUUGAUUUUCAGCCUGUGUGCGCUCUCUGGUAUGUUAGGUUAGAGCUGUGGUGAAGACUCUUCCACACUCGUCGCAUUUAUAAUUCGAGCACUCAUAUAUCAUCCAGAGUGAGAGCUUUGACAGCGGCGACCCUGCACAGGUGGCAUCCAUAUGGUCUUCCUCCAGGGUGAGUUCUCUCAUGUCAUCCAAGGACAGAAAGUUGGAGAUGGUGAACUUCAUAGACCUCCCAGGAGAAAUCCCUUCCCACUGACUUCAUACCAGGAAGAGCAACAAAUUCCCUGGAUAAUGGUUAGUUUUACCUCCUGCACGUUGACUAAACCAUGGCUGAGGAUGCCUCCCUUUUGGCAGAUCAUUCUAGGAAGGUGGGAACCAAAUUUGCAGCAAACUCAUUCAUCUGUGUCAUCGUCUCCAUUGAAGCGUCAUUCCUUUCCCUGGUUAAUUAGUGCCCACCUUUUUUUCUUCCUUCAUCUUAAUUACAAUUCAGUCUGCUUUAUUCUGUUUUUUGGGUGACUACCCAAGUCCCUUAUGGUAGGUAGGUCAAGAGGCAGAGAGAGAGAAUUCUUCCCCCACCCCCAGGCAGACUAAAGACUGAGGAUCUGGUGCAGGAUGUCCCUUCUUCAAUGCCUUGACUGGGGUCAACACAUAUCAAGGUUAGGGCAGUGGACUUGGCCCUCCUGCCCAGGCUCACAGGUCUGUUCCCUCCCCCAGCCCCUGAGGCCUGUGACUACAGCAUCCUCGAAGCUUUAAACAGCUUCUCGGUGCUCAUGGGGACUCAGGGAAAACAGGAUCUGCAGACCAGGAAGCGGGUCCUCACCCGACCCCAGGUCCCCAGCACCUUGACCUUGGACUCCAGCUUCCAACCUUGAGGAACAGACGUCUGGUUUCACGCUCAUCUGCAGUACUUCAGCCAAAGGGACUCAGAAGUUAAUUAAGCAUCUACUCUGCCAGGUGGCUGAGGAGCUUCACAGAUACAAAUGAAGUGCAAAACCCUGUCUUAGAAAACCUUUGACCCUGGUGGGAACAGUACCAGCCACGUGAGUCCAGAGCCGAGUCAGUUCCUGCUUUGGGAGCAGAGUCCUCCGUGUGGGGUGUCCUGCCUGCGAGACCUUGGGCAGCAUCUCCAGCGUCGUCCACCAGAUGGCAGUAGCUUCCCUCUCUCCAACACGACUUUGCCAGAGUCCCCAAGGGCUUGGAGUAACCCCAUCUGUCCAUAUGCUGCAGCUCGAGGUUCCCCAAUAUGCAAGUAGUUCACAGCCUGCAGACACGACCAGAGGACGGCUUUGAAGAGACACUGUCAGCCCAGACGGGGACGUCAGGCCAGCAAAGGAGGCCAGUGUGCUGCUUGUUUGCACGGAAGAUUACAUUUUCAAAUAACAUAUCAUAACGGAUUAAAGCUGAAAAAAUCA
This is a non-coding RNA of Delphinapterus leucas (beluga whale), 1422 nucleotides long. Lineage: Eukaryota; Metazoa; Chordata; Mammalia; Artiodactyla; Monodontidae. The record is from RefSeq and is a predicted model, not a curated record.